RNAcentral lists this ribosomal RNA (407 nucleotides) under uncultured bacterium. RNAcentral describes it as "partial 16S ribosomal RNA". It matches the Rfam family "Bacterial small subunit ribosomal RNA", at positions 28 to 526 of the family's 1533-position model. The record is from RNAcentral.
GACGAACGCUGGCGGCGUGCCUAAUACAUGCAAGUAGGACGCAGUUGCGAACGGGUGAGUGACGCGUGGGUGUCUACCUAUUAGAGGGGGAGAACUAUUGGAAACGAUAGCUAAUACCGCAUACUAGUUGAUGGACCUGCGUUGUAUUAGCUAGUAGGUAGGGUAAUUGCCUACCUAGGCAAAGAUACAUAGCCGGCCCGGGAAGGGUGUCGGGCACCCUGGGACUUGGGAAAGGGCCAGACUUCCACCGGAGGGCGCAGUAGGGAAUCCUCGGCCAUGGGGGGAAACCUGAACGAGGCAAGGCGGGGGAGGGAAGAAAGGUUUCGGAUCGUAAAGCUCUGGUGGUAAGGAAGCGGUACUUAACCAGAAAGGGACGGCUAACUACGUGCCAGCAGCCGCGGUAAUUC